Molecule: small nucleolar RNA, 104 nt
Filed under: Propithecus coquereli (Coquerel's sifaka)
Lineage: Eukaryota; Metazoa; Chordata; Mammalia; Primates; Indriidae
Description: Small nucleolar RNA U13 (ENSPCOG00000007961.1)
Rfam family: Small nucleolar RNA U13
Source: Rfam by way of RNAcentral
AUCCUUUUGUAGUUCAUAAGCGUGAUGAUUGGGUUUUCACACGCAUGCGUGAGAUGUGCCUCCCUCAAUCCUUCUUACGAUGUGGGCACAUUACCUGUCUGACU